Molecule: ribosomal RNA, 254 nt
Filed under: uncultured bacterium
Lineage: Bacteria
Description: partial 16S ribosomal RNA
Rfam family: Bacterial small subunit ribosomal RNA
Source: RNAcentral
CACGUAGGGGGCAAGCGUUGUCCGGAUUUAUUGGGCGUAAAGAGCUCGUAGGCGGCUCACUAAGUCGGGUGUGAAAUUUCGAGGCUCAACCUCGAAACGCCACCCGAUACUGGUGUGGCUAGAGUCCGGUAGGGGAGCGUGGAAUUCCUGGUGUAGCGGUGAAAUGCGCAGAUAUCAGGAGGAACACCGAUGGCGAAGGCAGGUCUCUGGGCCACUACUGACGCUGAGAAGCGAAAGCAUGGGGAGCGAACAGG